UGCAAGAUUAGACGGUCUGACCUGCCCACUGAAAAUUUUAAAUGGCCGCAGUAUACUAACUGUGCAAAGGUAGCAUAAUCAUUAGUUUUUUAAUUGAAAGCUGGUAUGAAUGGUUGGACGAGAUAUUAACUGUUUCAAUUGAAAUUACAUUAGAAUUUUAUUUUUUAGUUAAAAAGCUAAAAUCUGUAUAAAAGACGAGAAGACCCUAUAAAUCUUUAUAUUUUGUUUAUUUUAAUUAAGAAGAAAAAUUUUUUUAAAUUAAAUUAAAAUAUUUUAUUGGGGUGAUAUUAAAAUUUAAUAAACUUUUAAUUAUUUUUAUCAUUAAUUUAUGAAUAAUUGAUCCAAUUUUAUUGAUUAGAAAUUUAAGUUACUUUAGGGAUAACAGCGUAAUUUUUUUGGAGAGUUCUUAUCGAUAAAAAAGAUUGCGACCUCGAUGUUGGAUUAAGAGAUAGAUUUGGGUGUAGCUGUUCAAAUAAUUAAGUCUGUUCGACUUUUAAAUUCUUACGUGAUCUGUUUUCAAGACCGGG
RNAcentral lists this ribosomal RNA (527 nucleotides) under Poecilolycia vittata. RNAcentral describes it as "partial 16S ribosomal RNA". It matches the Rfam family "Bacterial large subunit ribosomal RNA", at positions 1838 to 2621 of the family's 2925-position model. Lineage: Eukaryota; Metazoa; Arthropoda; Insecta; Diptera; Lauxaniidae. The record is from RNAcentral.